GCCUGAGUGGCUCAGUCGGUCAAAGCGUCCGACUUCGGUUCAGGUCAUGAUCUCGCCGCUUGUGAGUUCGAGCCCCGCAUCAGGCU
Molecule: transfer RNA, 86 nt
Filed under: Felis catus (domestic cat)
Lineage: Eukaryota; Metazoa; Chordata; Mammalia; Carnivora; Felidae
Rfam family: tRNA
About the family: Transfer RNA (tRNA) molecules are approximately 80 nucleotides in length. Their secondary structure includes four short double-helical elements and three loops (D, anti-codon, and T loops).
Source: Rfam by way of RNAcentral